GGCUGGUUAUUUCAAAUGGUCCGGAAAAAUACAAGCAGCACAGAAGUAUCUCCGCAGUCCGGAAGACACGAAGUUUCUAUAGAGAAAAAGUCGUCUGGAGCAAGCUGUCUGCUAGUGCCAAGACCCGUCUAAAACACAGAGUACCGACAGCACAUCUGCUCCAGAAGCAGCCCCAACAACAACCCCCGAUUUUUGCCUGGGAAACCGAGGCUCAGCUUGGCGACCUUUGAGCCACAAAACAGCGGCGUUUGCUGCGGUGAAAAGCAAAAGGGAGGGGGGGAAAGUGGCUACAGGGGAGGGGUGUCUCGGUACCCCCAGUUCUAUAUAGAAAACAACUGCAAUAUUGUUGGUUACAACGAAAUGUGAAAACGCCCCUAGACUGUUCUGGUGUAGUGGGGGAUUGGGAUAUCACGCAGGUCCCCUGGCACGCGUGAGGUCAUUGCCUGGAUUGUUUAGGGCUGUGCCUGGAGUCUGACAGCCGAUUUGCUUCCCAGUCAGUUUCACACAGAAGCCAAAAAGAUCCCGGCUAUAGAUAGUAACAGGGAAGCUGCUGUUUACAGCAACAAACAGGACCUCCACAGUUCAAGUAUCCAAGCGACCGCUGCAGGGAGCAGCAGCCCAGGCGCUAGGGAGAAGGCAAUGCCAGCUCCCUUCUGGGAAGGAUGAUGGGAUCUGUUGGUGCUGCGGCUGCUUCCCGAGUCUUGCUUUGGCUCUUGAAACCUUUCCUGAUCCUCCCUUGCACUUCCACUUCUGAUAAAGAAAAUUAUCAUCAGCCAAAAGAACAAGAAGAAUGGACCAAAUAUCACCCAGGGUGCUGGUUAAACCUGUUCUUUUACUACAUUUUUCACCUGCCUUAGAAGACACUGGUUGGAAGGUACAGUUGUUCCCUCCUCUGGGAGUAGAGCCAGUCUUUGGCUUAUGAUCCUUUCUGUUUCAGCUGAGUCAAGCACGGGCCAUUCAGGGAACCCAUCCUUAGGUCAAACAGGAAUUGAUUGGGGCGGGUAGGGUAGUGGUCCAAGGACAGGACAAGCCAUCUUGGAGGAAAAAUGUAUAUGCCUGAAUAACAGUUUAAGAGGUGAUCAGUCUGAUUUGGAACAAUAAAAGAAAAAUUUAGCAAGCCA
RNAcentral lists this long non-coding RNA (1121 nucleotides) under Vombatus ursinus (common wombat). RNAcentral describes it as "lncRNA (ENSVURG00010018109.1)". The record is from RNAcentral. Lineage: Eukaryota; Metazoa; Chordata; Mammalia; Diprotodontia; Vombatidae.